Molecule: ribosomal RNA, 513 nt
Filed under: uncultured bacterium
Lineage: Bacteria
Description: bacterial SSU rRNA
Rfam family: Bacterial small subunit ribosomal RNA
Source: RNAcentral
ACGCUGGCGGCGUGCCUAAUACAUGCAAGUCGAGCGAACAGAUAAGGAGCUUGCUCCUUUGACGUUAGCGGCGGACGGGUGAGUAACACGUGGGUAACCUACCUAUAAGACUGGAAUAACUCCGGGAAACCGGGGCUAAUGCCGGAUAAUAUUUAGAACCGCAUGGUUCUAAAGUGAAAGAUGGUUUUACUAUCACUUAUAGAUGGACCCGCGCCGUAUUAGCUAGUUGGUGGGGUAAUGGCUUACCAAGGCAACGAUACGUAGCCGACCUGAGAGGGUGAUCGGCCACACUGGAACUGAGACACGGUCCAGACCCCUACGGGAGGCAGCAGUAGGGAAUCUUCCGCAAUGGGCGAAAGCCUGACGGAGCAACGCCGCGUGAGUGAUGAAGGUCUUCGGAUCGUAAAACUCUGUUAUUAGGGAAGAACAAAUAUGUAAGUAACUGUGCACGUCUUGACGGUACCUAAUCAGAAAGCCACGGCUAACUACGUGCCAGCAGCCGCGGUAAUACGU